GAUGAAGAACGCAGCGAAAUGCGAUACGUAAUGUGAAUUGCAGAAUUCAGUGAAUCAUCGAGUCUUUGAACGCACAUUGCGCCCCCUGGUAUUCCGGGGGGCAUGCCUGUCCGAGCGUCAUUGCUGCCCUCAAGCACGGCUUGUGUGUUGGGCCUCCGUCCUCCUCCCGGGGGACGCGCCCGAAAGGCAGCGGCGGCACCGCGUCCGGUCCUCGAGCGUAUGGGGCUUCGUCACCCGCUCUUGUAGGCCCGGCCGGCGCUUGCCGACACAUCAAUCUUUUUUCCAGGUUGACCUCGGAUCAGGUAGGGAUACCCGCUGAACUUAAGCAUAUCAAUAAGCGGAGGA
This 345-nucleotide unclassified non-coding RNA is filed under the name soil metagenome. RNAcentral describes it as "partial contains 5.8S ribosomal RNA, internal transcribed spacer 2, and large subunit ribosomal RNA". The stretch from base 1 to 120 matches the Rfam family "5.8S ribosomal RNA", at positions 35 to 154 of the family's 154-position model. The record is from RNAcentral.